Pelobates cultripes (western spadefoot toad) is the source of this 973-nucleotide non-coding RNA. The record is from the annotation of a GenBank genome assembly. Lineage: Eukaryota; Metazoa; Chordata; Amphibia; Anura; Pelobatidae.
GGAUAUGUUAAUUUUUUUAUAUUAUUAUUAUUUUGUAUAUAUGUAUGUCUGUUUGUGGAUGUCUGUGUAUGUGUGGAUGUCUGUGUAUGUGUGGAUGUCUAUGUCUGUUUGUGGAUGUGUGGAUGUUUGUGGAUGUCUGUGGAUGUGUGGAUGUCUGUCUGUGGAUGUGUGGAUGUCUGUGUAUGUGUGGAUGUCUGUGUAUGUGUGGAUGUCUGUUUGUGGAUGUGGGUUUGUGGAUGUGUGGAUGUCUGUUUGUGGAUGUCUGUGGAUGUCUGUGGAUGUCUGUGGAUGUCUGUUUGUGGAUGUCUGUUUGUGGAUGUCUGUUUGUGGAUGUCUGUUUGUGGAUGUCUGUUUGUGGAUGUCUGUUUGUGGAUGUCUGUGGAUGUCUGUUUGUGGAUGUGGAUGUCUGUGUGUGGAUGUCUGUGUGUGUGUGGAUGUCUGUGGAGUGUGGAUGUCUGUGGAUGUGUGGAUGUGUGGAUGUCUGUUUGUGGAUGUCUGUUUGUGGAUGUCUGUGGAUGUGUGGAUGUCUGUGGAUGUGUGGAUGUCUGUUUGUGGAUGUCUGUGGAUGUCUGUGGAUGUAUGUGUGGAUGUCUGUUUGUGGAUGUGUGGAUGUCUGUAUGUCUGUUUGUGGAUGUGUGGAUGUCUGUUUGUGGAUGUGUGGAUGUCUGUAUGUCUGUUUGUGGAUGUGUGGAUGUCUGUUUGUGGAUGUGUGGAUGUCUGUUUGUGGAUGUGUGUAUGUGUGGAUGUCUGUGUAUGUGUGGAUGUCUGUGUAUGUGUGGAUGUCUGUGGAUGUGUGGAUGUCUGUGGAUGUGUGGAUGUCUGUGGAUGUGUGGAUGUCUGUGGAUGUGUGGAUGUCUGUUUGUGGAUGUGUGGAUGUCUGUGGAUGUGUGGAUGUCUGUUUGUGGAUGUGUGGAUGUGGAUGUCUGUGGAUGUGUGGAUGUCUGUUUGUGGAUGUGUGGAUGUGGAUGUCUGU